CUCUCUAAAUCAUAACCUAAAUCUAAUUAGAGAGAGAUACGAAGAGGCUUCUCUCUCUUCCUCGUUCUCUCUCUUGUAUCUUUCACGAGAAAGAUGAUGAGUUUAAGCCUCGAUCUCCGUCGCCGAUUUCUUUCGGUAAUUUUGUCUCCGGUAUACUGCGGUCUAUUCGACGAGUAUAGCCGGCUUUUGCCUCCGGUGGCUCGCGCUCUCUUUGAACGGGGCUAUUCGGCUUUUGUCUCCGCGUUGCGUUUCUCUUCGAAGGCGGCGGCGGCUUCUCUCCGGGGUUCUCCCGGUAACGUUGAUCUACCUUUCCCGUUCUCCUAUUUCUAAUCGC
This 334-nucleotide long non-coding RNA is filed under the name Brassica napus (rape). RNAcentral describes it as "long non-coding RNA (BNAP_LNC003388)". Lineage: Eukaryota; Viridiplantae; Streptophyta; Magnoliopsida; Brassicales; Brassicaceae. The record is from RNAcentral.